GCGCGGAUCACGUUUUAUAACUUUCCUGAUAAUUUUUCCAUAAUACAUUAUAAACACGCUUUAAGGUGCUGUAAAAGUGACACAAAACAAUAUCUUCUUUAGUGUAAAUUGUGAAACUCCUUGAAAAUUGCAAGAAGUGCAUGAAAAUCAUCGAAAAAUAGUGUAAAACUUAAUUCACUCUAGCGGAAGAAACUAACCUUGCGCUCUUUCCCUAUUCGUGAUUUUGAACUCACAGCUCCCUCAAAAGACAUUUUCUCACUCCACCUCCUUCCCUCAAAACCCUAAAUUUUCUGGAAUAAAGUUCGUGAAAAGUUAGGUUAGAAGAUCGAAAAAUGUGUUAAUUUACAAAAUAAAAAUUCCUGUUGUGUCCUCUUUUCUCAAUUUACUCCGUCACAUGGUGGAUCUUUAUCCAUUCGCAUUCUCCAUGUUGCUUUUGGGGACGUGAGAGGGGAAAGUAUCUAAGCAUGAAUCGGGGCAGUUGCCCGUGCGCGAGCCUACAUGUAGGAGUGAAAGUGUCGCAAGAGUGGUUCAUCAUCUUUCGUUUAUUGUCACUUUAUCGCCGAUAAAUACAAGCACAGCCCCGCCAUGUCUUCUUCAAAAACUCUUCUCAUCAGGAACUACCAAUUAAUACCAGAAUAACAGUGUUACAGUGUUUCGUGAGUCUGGGUCUCGCAUUUUUUUCUGUUGGCGUCCAAGUGUAGUGCGGGGAAAGGUGCGCCACCGUCCUUUCUACGAGGACGAGUCAUGGGUUCCAAGUUUGAUGGACACGCUACAUACGAAACUCGUUUCGGAACUUACCUGCGAAAAGACAUGACCGAUAGGACUGACUCCGAUUUUCAAUUUGUCAUUCCACCCGAGGCUCCGGUCUUCGAACCCACCGCUGAGGAGUUCCUAGAUCCCCUCGGGUACAUUGCUAAGAUUCGUCCCAUCGCUGAGAAAUCGGGAAUCUGCAAGAUUAAACCACCUCCCAAUUGGCAACCACCCUUCGCUGUUGAUGUCGACAAAUUCAAAUUCGUACCAAGGAUACAAAGGUUAAACGAAUUAGAAGCUAAAACCAGAAUAAAACUAAACUUUUUAGAUCAAAUAGCCAAAUUUUGGGAGCUUCAGGGUUCUUCGUUGAAAAUUCCACUCGUAGAGCGCAAAGCUCUAGAUCUAUACUCUCUACACAGAAUAGUAACUAGUGAAGGUGGAAUAGAAACAGUGACGAAAGAAAGGAGAUGGGCGAAAAUCGCAAAUAAGUUAGGGUAUCCUUCCGGGCGUAGCGUUGGAAGUAUUUUAAAAAAUCACUAUGAAAGAAUUUUAUAUCCCUUCGACGUUUUUAAACAAGGCAAAACAUUGACUGACAUUAAAAUAGAACCAGAAAUAGACGCGAAUGAGAAGAAAGACCGAGAUUACAAGCCCCACGGCAUUAUAUCGCGGCAACAAAUUAAACCACCGGCCGUAAAGUUUUCUCGUCGUUCGAAACGAUUCGCUGGCCAAGAAGAAAACAAAGAUGCAGUGUCACUUAAACAAGAGGAUUGCAAGGAAGAGUGCGAUUCUGACAAUGACUGCAAAGAAGAUGUCAAGAGCAAGUGUGUGUCUCCGGAGAAGGUAUCGGAAAACAGCAAAGAGCUGAAGAAACUGCAGUUUUAUGGAGCUGGUCCAAAAAUGGCUGGCUUUAAUACCAAAGAAGGGAAAAAGUCCAACAAAACUAGGGGAAUUAAACUCACCUACGAAUUUGAUCCUCUGGCUAAAUAUAUUUGUCACAAUUGUGGAAGAGGUGACAAUGAAGAGAAUAUGUUGCUGUGCGAUGGAUGUGACGAUAGUUAUCACACAUUUUGUCUUCUACCACCUUUGACUGAAAUUCCAAAAGGCGAUUGGCGUUGUCCAAAAUGUGUCGCUGAAGAAGUUUCGAAGCCGAUGGAAGCCUUUGGAUUUGAGCAGGCGCAGAGGGAAUACACUCUUCAACAGUUUGGGGAAAUGGCUGAUCAGUUUAAGAGCGAUUACUUCAACAUGCCUGUGCACAUGGUACCGACUUCUCUUGUGGAGAAAGAAUUCUGGCGAAUAGUUUCUUCGAUCGACGAGGAUGUGACAGUCGAGUACGGCGCUGAUCUUCACACAAUGGACCAUGGAUCCGGAUUUCCAACAAAAACGAGCGUCAAUCUCUUCACGUGUGAUCAAGAGUAUGCAGAAUCUUUUUGGAAUCUAAACAACCUCCCAGUAUUGCAUGGAAGCGUCUUGGGUCACAUCAACGCAGACAUUAGUGGCAUGAAGGUACCCUGGAUGUAUGUUGGUAUGUGCUUCGCGACUUUUUGUUGGCACAACGAGGACCACUGGAGUUACUCUAUCAAUUAUCUGCAUUGGGGGGAACCAAAGACGUGGUACGGAGUUCCUGGUUCCAAGGCUGAGCAGUUUGAACACUCGAUGAAAUCUGCAGCGCCUGAAUUGUUCCAGAGUCAACCAGACUUGUUGCAUCAGCUAGUUACCAUCAUGAAUCCCAACAUUCUAACAAACGAAGGAGUACCAGUAUUUCGAACAGAUCAACAUGCGGGCGAGUUUGUAGUUACUUUCCCUAGAGCAUAUCACGCGGGAUUCAAUCAAGGGUACAAUUUCGCUGAAGCAGUAAACUUCGCACCCGCGGACUGGUUGAAGGUGGGCAGAGAAUGCGUCUCUCAUUAUUCGAAUUUAAGGAGGUUCUGUGUUUUCUCACAUGACGAACUGGUCUGCAAAAUGUCUUUGGAACCUGAUGCUUUGGACAUUGGAGUUGCUACAGCAACUUAUUAUGAUAUGUUACAAAUGGUAGAUGAUGAGAAGAAACUGAGAAAAAAUCUGCUUGAAUGGGGAGUGACGGAAGCAGAACGUGAGGCUUUCGAAUUACUUCCUGAUGACGAGAGACAGUGCGAGGCAUGUAAAACUACCUGUUUCUUAAGCGCUGUCACCUGUUCGUGUCAAAGUUCGCAGUUAGUUUGCUUAAGGCAUUUCACGGAACUUUGCGAGUGUCCGCCGGAAAAGCACACAUUGCGAUACAGGUAUACUUUAGAUGAGUUACCAAUCAUGCUGCAGAAGUUGAAACUGAAGGCCGAGUCCUUUGACUCAUGGGUGUCGAAAGUGAAGGAGGCGAUGGAUCCCAAAGGAGAGAAAAUCGAACUGAACGAGCUGAAGGAACUCCUGAGUGAGGCGGAAAGUAAAAAGUUUCCUGAAAGCGAACUUUUGACGGCACUCACAAACGCGAUUCAGGAUGCUGAGAAAUGCUCGAGUGUUGCACAACAGUUGUUGACCAACAAACAACGCACGAGAACAAGACAAUCUGCCGAAAACAAGUACAAAUUAACGGUGGAGGAGUUGACGCUCUUCUACAAGGAGAUAUCAAACUUGUGUUGUGAUCUUAAAGAAGCUGAGGGCAUCAAGUAUAUUUUGGAUCAAGUCGUGCAGUUUCAGAAGGAUGCGGAAGAAUUAGAAUCGAUGGAUAUUGAGUGCGACGUUGAGAAACUGGAAAAGUGUAUCGAUUUCGGUGACUCAAUCUGCAUCGACUUGCCACAACUCGUAAGACUAAAACAAAAAUUGUCGCAAAUCCAGUGGUUGGAGGAGGUAAAAGGAAUUCAGGAAGAGCCAAAAACUAUUAGUCUCGAGGACCUGGCAAGUCUUAUCGAGAAGGGAAUGGCGAUUCCGCCACACUGCAGUAUUGAACGCACGCUUUCCAAAUUGCAAGCUCUCAUGAACAGUAUUGACAAAUGGGAAGGAAAGGCCAAGGUAUUCCUUCACGUUAAAGAACGACGAACGAUCAAAGCAGUCGAUGAGUUUGUUCAAGAGGCUAAUGAUAUUGAUGCCUACUUGCCAAGCUUGAGCAAUCUUCAGGAAAUUUUAAAUAAGGCAAAGAAUUGGACCAAGACCGUGGAGGAAAUUCAAGGGAAGGACAAUAUCGCUUACUACGACACACUUGAUGAACUCGUUCGAAAAGGGAGAAACAUUCCACUGCACCUGGACGCUCUGCCGGUCCUAGAAUCCACUCUCUCGCAAGCGAGAUCGUGGAAGGAACGGACAGCGAGGACAUUCCUGAGAAAGAACUCUCAUUAUACAUUGAUGGAAGCUCUCUCUCCCAGAGUAGGGGUCGGAGUUCAAUCUAUGAAGACAAAAAAGAACAAGGGUGAUGAUUCGAUUGGUGCGGUUUACGUUUGCGACACCAAACUCGAUGAUUCCAAUAAUUCGGCGACUGUUGUUGCUGCGUUUAAACUCGCUGAACAGCGAGAGAUGGAGGCUAUGAAAAAUUUGAGACAGAAGAACAUGAUGAAGACACAGCUUGAAGAUUCCAAGUACUGCGUCUGCCGUAAAGCCAGGUUCGGGACGAUGUUCCACUGCGAGUUGUGCAGGGAUUGGUUUCAUUCCCAAUGUGUGCCUCUACCCAAAGUGGCGUUGAAGGGGAAAACGGCAUUGCCACCGGAUAUGAAAUUCCUGUGUCCUUGUUGUCUGAGGUCUCGCAGGCCACGAUUAGAAACAAUCCUGGCACUUUUGGUCAGUCUUCAGAAAAUUCCUAUUCGAUUGCCGGAAGGCGAGGCUCUACAAUGUCUUACAGAACGAGCCAUGAAUUGGCAGGAUCGAGCCAGGCAAACACUGGCUACAGAAGAAAUUAGCUCGGCCCUCUCGAAACUGUCUAUUCUUUCCCAGAAGCUAGUGGAGGCUGCAGCGCGGGAAAAGACUGAGAAGAUCAUAAGCAGCGAAUUGAAGAAGGCCGCCAACAACCCAGAAUUGCAUCAGAGAGUUCAAGCGAUUGCACCCCUUAGUGGAGUGCAUUCAGACGAUAGUGCUCUCAGUGCAGUGGAGGAUGACGACGACGUGAUGCAAAUCGAGGAUGAUGAACCAUCUUGCAGUACAUUUAACAGUAAUGAACACGCUUAUUCCUAUGAGAAUUUAAUUUCAGUUUCCAAGUUCCAUCCAAAGCUGGAGAUCAAUCCGAAGGACCCAGAGUCAAUGAUCGUUUUAACAGAAGGCGUUAAAGUUCGCCUAGAAGAGAUGAUGAUGGAGGGCGAUUUGCUCGAAGUAGCACUGGAGGAAACGCAUCUCAUAUGGCGCAUUUUGAGUCAUACUACAAAUCCAAAAAGCGUACGAAAAUACGCAUCCUUGAAUGAUAUCAAGGCAAAUCAGGAUGGAGAGGUGAAAGAGGUUAAAAAACGCGGUCGGAAGCGAAAGUCUGAUUCAGAUUUUGACCUGAUGAAGGUGAAUCAACGAUCUGAUGACAAAAUGCUGUUCAAGCAGCGUAAGGGCUUUGCAGCAGCCAAUAAGGAGAAGAAAUUGUCUGUUACGGGACAAGUGAAGCGCGGACCGCGGAAGUAUGAAUUACAGAUGAAGCGAAAGGAAGGGGAGGAGGUGCCGAAAAAGCGAGUGGGUCGGAAGAAGACUAAACAAGAUACUUCUGAAGAUGAGGAAGACUGUGCUGCGUUCAGUUGCCUGCGACCCAGCGGUCACGAAGUUGACUGGGUUCAGUGUGAUGGCGGGUGCAACGGAUGGUUCCACAUGCACUGUGUGGGCCUGGACCGAACUGAACUUGCAGAAGAGGAUGACUAUCACUGUUCUAAUUGUAAAGAAAUGGAUCAAAACACGACGUUAGCAGCGCCAGAUAGACUGGCCGAUUUUUUAGGCCUGGAUGCACUUCUAUCCCUUUCUCAAUCCCAGGGAUACCACAGCGGGGAUGCGGAUGCAGAUGCGGAUACCGAUGCAGACAGCCAGGACGCGAUAUCUUUCGUUAGAACUUUUUAAAUUGAAAAAGAAUCAUAAACCUUGAAUCUACACAAAGGAACAUAUUUCCUGCUGGAAAAUCGAGAAGGAUGGAGCAGGAAACCAUUCUACAGAGGUCAGCCGUCACUCCGUCAACACCUGAUUCAACUCUCGUCAAAAAUUAUCUAAAUGUCACCUGAAAAUCAAUCUGGCAAGAUUGAGAAACAAUUCUGUGAGAAAAGAGUGUUAAGGCCUUCACAAAUCCUUCGCGCCGAUGGUGUGUACAGAUAGACUGAAAAUAAUUUAUGUACUAAAAUAUAAAAAUAGAUAAUUAUUAUGUACACCUUUAAUAUUCUACUCUUAGAAUCCACCAGUUUUAUCUUAAAUGAAAGUAGAGGAAUCUCGUGAAAAGUGUGAAAAAAUGUAAUUAGUAUCUUUUCUGGGACGAAUAUUAAAAUAUUUUUGAGUUUUGAGUUAAGUUCGUAUUUGAGCUAAAUCUUCGAAAUUUCACAAGUGACAUUUUUCUAAGUUAUAAAAAACAUCGUUUUGGUAAUAUAAAAGAAAGUAGAGCGAGUCCUGUGUACAUAAUAUUGCAUCUUAUUAGAUACUACCCAUGGUAGGAAAAUUCAAGUCCUUUGUAAGUCAUCGAUAAAUCGGACUUCAUAAACUGAGGUCAAACGGAAAAGCUUAUUUUUUUGAAUAGUUUUUUAAUGCAUAUUUAAACAGUAGAUAGACUCCCGGUAAAGUCUUUUUCGGAGAAAACUAUCUUUUAUGUAAUAAUCGAAAGAAAAAAUGCGACCUAUUAGCGACACUAUGAUAAAACACCAUCGCAGUAGUGAAUUAUUUUAUUUUACUUCGAUGAUUACAUACAAAUAUAAUUGUCUUCGAAAAAAUUGCCUCUACCGGGAGUCUUUCUACUCUUUAAAGUAAGUAUACAAAAAAAAAUUACACAAAAUGGCUUUUCCAUUGGCCUCAGUUUAUGAAGUCUGAUUCACUCAUGAUUUUCAGGGGCCUUAAGAAAGCCAUUGUGUUUUGUAAAAUAAAAUACAUUAUCACUCAUACAAAUUAUGAUUUUUGAAAAGCCUGAUGUAAUCUGAAAAAUUGCGCAUUUUAAAAAGGAUUUUUCUUGAAUCUGAGUUACGUAGAAUUCUUGGAUUUGUAAGGAACGUAAUUUGUUCGUCGGACGUUGUACAAUAUUGUCUGAUUGUUUUUUGUUUUUUCAUGGAACUUCAAUUUAACGUAUGUGUGGCCCAAAUUUUCGGAUCACGACACAGUGUUUUAAAUUCAGGGAGGAUUUAAAACAGGCUGUGAGAUAAAGUAAAAGUAUGAUUUUCCUUAAUUUUUGUUCGUCUGUUUUUCACAAAAUGCAAUUUUUGAAUGGAUAUUUGUCUGUAUGGACUGCAAACGUUAUCAUCGAGGAAAUGUACGUGUAUAUAGAAAAUCUGGUAUAGCCUAGAUGUAACUCAUAUAGAUUUUUGUCGCUUUUUCGAUCAUAGUUUUUGUGUGAGGAAUUUCAUGAUCUAUUUUUUAUUUAUACAUUUUAGAUAUGCUUUUUUUAGUGUUUGUUUCCUUCUUUAAGAUUACUUUUUCCCUGUUUCGCUCCAGUUUGAUUUGAAAAUAGUAUAACUUGUUGUUUUCCACCGAAAUUCAUUCAUCUCUAUAAAAUAUUAUGAUGGUGUAUUAACAGUAUUAAUAACUAUUUUAAUAUGCGACACAGAAUCUAGAUUUCAUUGUACACCCAAGAUAUUAUGUGUAGACGAAUUACAGAUAUUUAUAAAACUUAAGGUUAAAAUUAAGAUUUGAAUGUAGUUAAAAAAGUUUGUUUGUAAGAUUAUAACAUAAACAUUUGCGAAAGAGUAUAAUAAAUAUUAUACGUACAAGU
Molecule: RNA transcript, 7570 nt
Organism: Belonocnema kinseyi
Lineage: Eukaryota; Metazoa; Arthropoda; Insecta; Hymenoptera; Cynipidae
Gene: Kdm5
Gene name: lysine-specific demethylase lid
Exons: 19
Source: RefSeq, a predicted model, not a curated record